UAAACGGUUCUUUUUAGAACUACUAAAUUUUUAGACAAAGGAACACU
Non-coding RNA from Solenopsis invicta (red fire ant), 47 nucleotides. The record is from Rfam. NCBI's taxonomy places the organism in Eukaryota, Metazoa, Arthropoda, Insecta, Hymenoptera, Formicidae.